Long non-coding RNA from Stylophora pistillata, 830 nucleotides. The record is from RefSeq and is a predicted model, not a curated record. Lineage: Eukaryota; Metazoa; Cnidaria; Anthozoa; Scleractinia; Pocilloporidae.
GAAAUCAUAUGAAAGGUUUAGGUUUAAUUACCUUCAUACGGAUCCUGCUUUCGAAGUGUAUCUUCUACCUGACCUUAGGUUAUUUUCCAAAUGUUUUCGUCGGAAAACUCACCUGAGCCCAGCAUCAGUAGUGGUGCACGUGCCCUAACGUAUUCAGACGUCGUGCAAGCAAUAAUAUCUACGCCUUUGGACAAUGACUUUUUGGUAUCGUUACCAAAAGCAAGAUUUCGAGGAAGCCACGCGGGUUUCCUUGGAGACGUCGCUUAAUGACGUUCCGCUGGUAAGUAGAUUUAUGUUCAUUGCCGUUCAUUCUAUUUUUUGCUGACGAUUAGGGUAAAACCUGGAGGCAAAAACUUAGUCGCCCUUAUCAAUUUUAAUUUUAGAGAUGCAAGAGUGAAUCUGAAGACAGCCUAGAUAAGACAACCCCUGGAUUUCACCAUACACGUGGCCGUGGGAAGAUGUCACAAAUACCAAUCGAUGUGAUUGACAUUACGGAUUUACCACCGAAGAAGAAAAACAAGAAAGCGAGCAGUUCUUGCUCACUUGUGGGAAAGACGUUCAUGAAGUCCUUUAAUCUGACAUUGACACCGACGAUCAAUUGAACCAAGCCACUUUCUUCAUUCGAAGGAAAUCGAAGGCAAGGACAAUGGAAAAGAGUUAGUUGGAGAGUGACGUGGAAUCUCUUUCGGAAGGUUCUUCGUCGUCCCAAGACGAUAAAAAUAAUAAAACGAGGAAAAAACAGCGCAAUAUAUCCGUUGAUGCAUGGGAAAAUGUCGAGAAGCAAAUGCGUGUGAGGUUGUUGUAACACCCGGUAAGGUGCAAAAGUGCUA